Molecule: ribosomal RNA, 421 nt
Filed under: uncultured bacterium
Lineage: Bacteria
Description: partial 16S ribosomal RNA
Rfam family: Bacterial small subunit ribosomal RNA
Source: RNAcentral
AUCUUCCACAAUGGGCGAAAGCCUGAUGGAGCAACGCCGCGUGAGUGAGGAAGGUUUUCGGAUCGUAAAACUCUGCUGUAAGGGAAGAAGAAGUACAGUAGUAACUGGCUGUACCUUGACGGUACCUUAUUAGAAAGCCACGGCUAACUACGUGCCAGCAGCCGCGGUAAUACGUAGGUGGCAAGCGUUGUCCGGAAGUAUUGGGCGUAAAGCACGCGCAGGCGGGCCUUUAAGUCUGAUGUGAAAGCCCACGGCUCAACCGUGGAGGGUCAUUGGAUACUGGGGGACUUGAGUGCAGAAGGGGAAAGUGGAAUUCCAAGUGUAGCGGUGAAAUGCGUAGAGAUUUGGAGGAACACCAGUGGCGAAGGCGACUUUCUGGUCUGUAACUGACGCUGAGGCGCGAAAGCGUGGGGAGCAAACA